GGAGAGGUACUCAAGAGGCUCAAGAGGAUGCCCUGCUAAGGCAUUAGUACGGGAAACCGUAGCGCGGGUUCAAAUCCCGCCCUCUCCGCCA
This 91-nucleotide transfer RNA is filed under the name Christensenellaceae bacterium. RNAcentral's name for it is "tRNA-Ser". It matches the Rfam family "tRNA". Rfam says of the family: Transfer RNA (tRNA) molecules are approximately 80 nucleotides in length. Their secondary structure includes four short double-helical elements and three loops (D, anti-codon, and T loops). Lineage: Bacteria; Bacillati; Bacillota; Clostridia; Christensenellales; Christensenellaceae. The record is from RNAcentral.